Molecule: non-coding RNA, 552 nt
Organism: Pelobates cultripes (western spadefoot toad)
Lineage: Eukaryota; Metazoa; Chordata; Amphibia; Anura; Pelobatidae
Source: the annotation of a GenBank genome assembly
CUAAUCAUCGUUGUCCACCGCCAUGAUUACUUCUGAAAUGCAAUAUUACCAAUUCAUGAGUAUUUUCUUACUCUAAGCUAGUACAAUAACAUAAUUACAUAUGAGUCUAAGCAUAAUAUAUUACUAGACAACACAACUAACAGAAUGUGUGAAAGACACUUUUACAAGAUAAGGGUAAUCAUGUGAAACAUGUUUAGUGCUAGUUGGUUCAAUGUACGCAUAAAGCAGUGAAAUCUGACAUCAUAGAGCAGGGAUAGGCAACCAUCGGCACUCCAGAUGUUGCAGACUACAUGCCCCAGAAUGCUUUUAAAGAGAAAAUUGUGGCAAAGCAUCAGGGGAGAUGUAGUCCACAACAUCUGGAGUGCCGAAGGUUGCCUGCUCCCGUCAUAGAGAGAUUAAGCAGUAGCCAAAGCGAUAUGUUGUGUGAACAUUAGUGAGCUCUGCUCUUGGAGAUCUGAGCGUCCAGACAUUUUAGGAGCUUAGAUUCAAGGCUUCUUAGACUACUGUCCACUCUCUUUAUAGAAACACUUAUGUUUUCUGCAAGGCAGUGGA